AUGGCACAUGGAGGUUAAGGACCAUUAGUCUGCUCCCUGGACUAAGGCCGCGCCUAUUAUAGUGCUACAGCGGAGCUUUCUUCAAUGGGCCAACUCUACUUUAUCACUGCUUACCCAAGACCUUUCCCAGAAGGUCAGGCUCCUCUAAUGACUCGUGACUUGAGUCAUGAGGAGGACGGCAGAAGUGAACGGGGAACGUUUCCCGUACGCCGGACGGAGCAGACGGAGCAGGAACGAACGGGGAGGAAGAAGGAAGAGGGCGAGAGAAGUGCUUCACGUCAAACUUUGGGGAGCAGUGCUGUGACGUCUGGGAAAUUACAGUAAAACAGUGUUUUUUUUUCAAGAUGUUCAGGACAUUCCAUCAGGUGCCAGUCAGGGAAAAGAAACCGAGGACGAGGACUUUUCUCCCCCCAAUGCGAGCGAGCAGCAUGACGGAAAUAACUCAACUUCGGGAGGAAACUAUGCAGCCUCACAUCACCCCCCUCCCCCGCCUCCCCCGUGCGUCCUUGCGGAGGGACGGUUGCUCCAACAAAGAUGCUGUUAAAUGGAUUUGUGUGUGCGCGCGUGCAAAUGUGUGCGCGUGUGCCGACACGCAGCGUUUUUGUGCGGCGCUUCGGCAGAAAGCUGAUUAAAGAGCGAGUGAGGAAGUUGCUUUCUACCCCACAGUGGACCGACAAUGUGCAGGAUUAAUCAGGCCCGGCUCCUAUCCACGCAGGUUAAUUAGGGUUAAAUGAUAAUUAGGACACCAUUAAAAAGGCAAACAACCACAGAGGACCCUUAAUCCGUGCGGUGGUGUGCUGCGGCGCGUAGGUUUAUUUGUUUGUGGAGGUGUGUGUGUGUGUGUGUGUGUGAGGUGUUUUUGGGGCAUCUGCUGAGCUAUGAGUUUGUGUGAAUUAGAUAUAAAAAAAAGACAAAGGCCGCUUAGUUUGAACCUCACUGAUGAAAUGUUGUUCUUGACGAAGGUCACGUCACACAGAGUAAAUCUUUCUGAAUGGUUGAAAAUGCAGAAUCCGAGGUGAAAAUACCGACAACAAAGAGCAGCCCCGUCCACGUGCAUCGCAUCCACGCCACGUCACGUUGACCGCCGCUUAUCGAACCGCCCGCAAAAAAGUCCACCGCGGAGGAAAAUAGAAUUAUGACCGACACCCAGAAUGCUUUGCACCUGCACUGAUGGGAUGUAAAUGCGUCCGGCUCGACCUGGAACAUCCUCCGUGUCCCUACUCAGAUACGAUAAUUUGCUCCCGUUUUGUGACACCAGGAUGCUGCAGUGACAAAUUAGAAUUGAUUGGAGCCUCGGCUAAAAUGUCUCAGGAUGUGACCCCUGAGCUCAGAGGCAUUUUGCCGUAUUAGUAUUCUGCCCCUGACUGCUGCUACCUGGCAGCUAAGGUUUUAGAGCAUGAAUUAAAUCAAUGUGCAUCACUGUGGGGAUCUUUCCUUCAUCUCGCUGUAUUGCAGUUACUUGCAUGUCUUUCCACCAGCAUCACUAUAAUACCAUAAUGCAACACAGUCACUUGCAUGACCGUUGUACAUUAAACAUCUCCAAUCAAGUUUUACAUGUUUUUUUGAUGACGAUUUAUUCCCCAAAUCUGCAGAACUCCUUCGCUCUGCUGCACCCAGAUGUUAACUGACCAAAUGUACAACCCCCCCCCCGACCCCCCCCCAGCACGUAAGGGUGAAGCUGCGCGGGAGGGAGGUGAGGUAGGUGGGGGGGCGGGGGUCUGAGAUCCCGAUGGUGUGGCUGCACAGUAGCAGAGGGCAUUUUAUGGACCCCCUGUGAUCUGACUGAUGGGGGCUGGAUGAGCACAAUGACGUCUUUUGAUGUGGUUUUGACUCCCAGACAGGUUUUUUCUGUGUGUGUGUGUGUGUGUGUGUGUGUGUGUGUGUAUUACCACCCAGCAGCUCCCUCCUCGAUGCGUGUCGAUCGGUUUGUGUUGUUUUUGUGUGUGUGUGGUUCAUGGUGGUGCGUUUGUCCGGUUGUUGUGGGAUGAAAGUGGAAUCUUUUUUUUUUUUUCAUCAUCAAGUGAUGAUUAUGUCUGUUGGGUUGAUCAGUCCACCACUUUGGACCGGACCGAAGUCUCCCACCCAAUAUUAGAUGGCCUGCCACGGCCUUUAGUUCAGUCCCCAGAGGAUGAACCCGACUGAAUGAACCCGAGUGAAUGAACCCGAGUGAUCCCCUGACUUUUCCUUUAGUGGCACCAAGAGGUUGACAUUUUUCCACCUCUAAUGGAAUACUGCAAUAACUGCAGGGUGGAAAGCCAUGACAUUUGCUGCAGAUAUCCAUGGUCCCCAGAGGUUAACCCAGAAGGCUUUGGCUCGACGACGAAGAAGAGAAGAGAGGGUUACUUCAUUUGCGGUUGAACUGGUCCGACGUCAACACCCCCUCGGUUCACAGCCAGUCACCCACGCUGUCACACAGGUACCAGGGACAGGUGUGUGUGUGCAGUGAUUUCAAACAGCGGAGGACACUUCAGGCUGUCGGCUGUAUUCUCGCCAUCACCGCCGUGAUAUGAUCCAUCCUUUUCCUCUCCAUUGAAACACAGGUGAGGAACACUGUCCGGGAUGGAAUGCACAGUUGCUCUGUGACUUUAUUCAAAGGACGCUUUUGCUAGAACUAGAAUUAAAGAUGUGGGUUCUGGAACGAGCUGUUGGUUAAGCAGCAUUUUACUGUUAUUGUGCAAAAGAGAGAGAAGGAAGAAAGAAUCCGGGUAAAACAGCGUUUCACUGUGCAGAGUUACUUUGUCUCAUGCUUAUAAAACAUGAUGCUAAUACACUCGUAGUAUAUGAUGAAAUACACUGUCAGAUAAAAGCCAAAUUGUGUCUUCAAUGGGACAGAUUUUCCAAGUGCGAGCAAACUUCUGCAGCCACGUCAGUCAGUUUGAAUGACAAAAGGAAAGACGUGAAUGAAAGAGGGCAUUGAUGCCGUGUUUGACUCUCAUAUCAAUGGUAUGUUGUCUCAAGGGACAGGAAGGACUCGACGGGGACAAGUACAAACACGGCGUAACACUUUGACGAAUGAUCAAAAAGGACGCGUUAAUCAAUCGCCGGUCACGAUGGCGUGACCUCCGAACAGUGACAUCGUUUUGCGUCCGGCCACGUAGCGCUGCGCGUUUUAAUCGACAUUCAUUGACUGUGAUGAGAUGUUUUGUUUUAAAAUACAUCAAUAUCAACCAUGGAUCCGGGUAAUCGGCGCAGUCAUGUUUAGUGUGUUUUGCUGGUGUUCUCAGACACGCGUAGAAAU
This is a long non-coding RNA of Gasterosteus aculeatus aculeatus (three-spined stickleback), 3238 nucleotides long. Lineage: Eukaryota; Metazoa; Chordata; Actinopteri; Perciformes; Gasterosteidae. The record is from Ensembl.